Molecule: long non-coding RNA, 1524 nt
Organism: Bos taurus (domestic cattle)
Lineage: Eukaryota; Metazoa; Chordata; Mammalia; Artiodactyla; Bovidae
Source: Ensembl
UUAAUAAAUCAUAUGUUUAUUAAUAUUUAAUAAUAUAUCUUAAUAAAUCAUAUAAUUAUCUGUGAGCGGCACAAUUAUAAUUUUUUGUAUUUGGAAGUAUUCAUUUGCUAGACCUUGAAAAAGAUGCCUCAAUAUUUGUGAUCUUGUUGUCUCUUCAUUUUGAAAUAUACCAAGAACAUUAAAAAAAAUAAAAAUCAGUGAUCCAAAAUCCUCUUUACCCCUGCUUGGAGCAGAGAUGAAGAUGUCCUCAUCUUAGCACAAGGAGCUGGGAGCGUGGGGAACACACUGAGUUACAGACGGUCACUUCAGUCCAGAUGCGAGAGCACUCUGAUGAGCUAACUAGUCUGCUCCAAACAGGGGCGGACUCAGAGCUUGGGGAGGUGGGUAGGGGAGGAGUCUUCACAGAGGAGGCGACAAAGCUGGCUCGCAGAGACCGUAGGAGUCUUGGAGGUGGAGAACGAGGGGAGGGAAAGCAUUCCAGUCUUCCAGAACAGCAUGUGCGCAGUCAGGGAGGCGUGAAAGGACAGAGCGUGUUUCAGAAUGGUCAGGAUUGGGUAUGGUUGGAGGGAAGAACGUGGGGGUGGAGUGGCAGGGGAGGAAGCAGAGCAGGCACGGUCUCUUAUGUCCCUUUGCCCGCCCACCUGCCUGCCUCUGGCUCUGAGUGUGGGUCAGCAGUGCUGGUGACAAGGUGCAGAUGGGGUGGGGGGUGGCCUGGGGUGAGAAGAGCAGAUUGACUCUGCAGGAGGAGAGGGGGGAGGCGGGGACUGGGAAGCUCUUUCUGACCUCAUGCAUUUCAGUUGGUUUUCUCCUGAGAGUGUCACUACUUUGAAAAAAUGUAAACAGUUGCAUUAAAAAUGUGCCACAGGCUUAUUUAGUACUGUUUACUCUAUUGACAGGCAUCAGGCCUGAUUCCACAUUUACAGUGUAUCUGUCCUAUAUCAGCUUGGCACUGGGAGAUAGGACACUGCCCGUCAGUGACUGCAAGGCUGCCGUGAGGAUUACACGUGAGAACGGCUGCAAAGCGCAGGGGCCCAGAGGAGGGCCCUGGCACCCAGUGGCCACGAUGGUCAUGGGAGAGGCAAACGCAGCACAGACGCUGUCUCAGGGAGGGCAUGGAUUAAACCACGUGUUCCCGACAACAGUGAAUGCAAAGCCCACGUGAUAAAGAGCACAGCUUGACCAGUGUGGCUGGAGCACCGUGGGUCAGGGAGAGGCCGAGGCAGCACUGCAGGACCCGGGAGGCUCUGCCACAAGCAGUGGGAAAACAUGGAGGGCUGUAAAGGGGGCUGAUGGAGAGGGGGGCUGCAACGUGAUCAGAUUUGCAGUUUCAAAAAGCCUAUUCUGGUCAGUGCCGUGGAGAGCAUGAAUUGGAGGGGGUCCCGAGUGGAUACAGGAAGACUGGCUGGGAAGGUCCUGAUGCCUGCUGACCGACAGUCUGAGGCCUAUUCAUGCUUUUCUGUGUCCUCUCGUGAACGUAGAUGUGAACUGCAUAGAUGUGGGAACUGGAGACGACUUGUUCUUCUG